UGGUGCAUGGUUGUCGUCAGCUCGUGUCGUGAGAUGUUGGGUUAAGUCCCCGCAACCGAGCGCAACCCUCGACCUUAGUUGCCAGCAUUCAGUUGGGCACUCUAAGGUGACUGCCGGCUAAAAGUCGGAGGAAGGUGGGGAUGACGUCAAAUCAUCAUGCCCCUUAUGACCUGGGCUACACACGUGCUACAAUGGGCGGUACAAAGGGUCGCGAACCCGCAGGGGGAGCCAAUCCCAAAAAAGCCGCUCUCAGUUCGGAUUGCAGGCUGCAACUCGCCUGCAUGAAGCCGGAAUCGCUAGUAAUCGCGGAUCAGCAUGCCGCGGUGAAUACGUUCCCGGGCCUU
Molecule: ribosomal RNA, 344 nt
Filed under: uncultured Anoxybacillus sp.
Lineage: Bacteria; Bacillati; Bacillota; Bacilli; Caryophanales; Anoxybacillaceae
Description: bacterial SSU rRNA
Rfam family: Bacterial small subunit ribosomal RNA
Source: RNAcentral